RNAcentral lists this ribosomal RNA (712 nucleotides) under Caloplaca soralifera. RNAcentral's name for it is "partial large subunit ribosomal RNA". It matches the Rfam family "Eukaryotic large subunit ribosomal RNA", at positions 214 to 944 of the family's 3401-position model. The record is from RNAcentral. Lineage: Eukaryota; Fungi; Ascomycota; Lecanoromycetes; Teloschistales; Teloschistaceae.
GAGAAUCCCGUAUGCGACCGGUGACCAAUCCCAUGUGAAACCCCUUCGACGAGUCGAGUUGUUUGGGAAUGCAGCUCAAAAUGGGUGGUAUAUUUCAUCUAAAGCUAAAUACCGGCCAGAGACCGAUAGCGCACAAGUAGAGUGAUCGAAAGAUGAAAAGCACUUUGGAAAGAGAGUCAAAAAGUACGUGAAAUUGUUGAAAGGGAAGCGCUCGCAACCAGACCUGCCCGCGGCCGAUCAACCGUCCUUCUGGGCGGUGCACUCGACCGCGAUCAGGCCAGCAUCGGUUCGGGCGGCCGGAUAAAGGCCCUGGGAACGUAGCUCCUUUCGGGGAGUGUUAUAGCCCUCGGUGUAAUGCGGCCCGCCUGGACCGAGGACCGCGCUUCGGCUAGGAUGCUGGCGUAAUGGUUGUGAGCGGCCCGUCUUGAAACACGGACCAAGGAGUCUAACAUCUAUGCGAGUGUUUGGGUGUUAAACCCAUGCGCGUAAUGAAAGUGAACGGAGGUGGGAACCCAUUCGGGCGCACCAUCGACCGAUCCAGAUGUCUUCGGAUGGAUUUGAGUACGAGCAUAGCUGUUGGGACCCGAAAGAUGGUGAACUAUGCCUGAAUAGGGUGAAGCCAGAGGAAACUCUGGUGGAGGCUCGCAGCGGUUCUGACGUGCAAAUCGAUCGUCAAAUUUGGGUAUAGGGGCGAAAGACUAAUCGAACCAUC